GGUUCUUUAGCUUAGCUGGUCAAAGCCCUCCGCUCAUAACGGGGUUACCGCUGGUUCGAGUCCAGCAAGAACCA
Molecule: transfer RNA, 74 nt
Filed under: Lactococcus lactis subsp. lactis
Lineage: Bacteria; Bacillati; Bacillota; Bacilli; Lactobacillales; Streptococcaceae
Description: tRNA-Met
Rfam family: tRNA
About the family: Transfer RNA (tRNA) molecules are approximately 80 nucleotides in length.
Source: RNAcentral